AACGAACGCUGGCGGCAUGCCUAACACAUGCAAGUCGAACGAAGGCUUCGGCCUUAGUGGCGCACGGGUGCGUAACGCGUGGGAAUCUGCCCUUUGGUUCGGAAUAACAGCUGGAAACGGCUGCUAAUACCGGAUGAUGACGAAAGUCCAAAGAUUUAUCGCCAGAGGAUGAGCCCGCGUUGGAUUAGGUAGUUGGUGGGGUAAAGGCCUACCAAGCCGACGAUCCAUAGCUGGUCUGAGAGGAUGAUCAGCCACACUGGGACUGAGACACGGCCCAGACUCCUACGGGAGGCAGCAGUGGGGAAUAUUGGACAAUGGGCGCAAGCCUGAUCCAGCAAUGCCGCGUGAGUGUUGAAGGCCCUAGGGUUGUAAAGCUCUUUUACCCGGGAAGAUAAUGACUGUACCGGGAGAAUAAGCCCCGGCUAACUCCGUG
This 433-nucleotide ribosomal RNA is filed under the name uncultured bacterium. Its description in RNAcentral is "partial 16S ribosomal RNA". It matches the Rfam family "Bacterial small subunit ribosomal RNA", at positions 29 to 507 of the family's 1533-position model. The record is from RNAcentral.